Molecule: ribosomal RNA, 117 nt
Filed under: Rothia amarae
Lineage: Bacteria; Bacillati; Actinomycetota; Actinomycetes; Micrococcales; Micrococcaceae
Source: RNAcentral
UGCGGUGGUUAUAGCAAGAGGGAAACGCCCGGUUCCAUCCCGAACCCGGAAGCUAAGACUCUUUGCGCCGAUGGUACUGCACUGGGGACGGUGUGGGAGAGUAGGUCGCCGCCGGUU